Molecule: ribosomal RNA, 372 nt
Filed under: uncultured organism
Description: bacterial SSU rRNA
Rfam family: Bacterial small subunit ribosomal RNA
Source: RNAcentral
CGAAGGGUGCGAGCGUUGUUCGGACUUACUGGGCGUAAAGGGUUCGUAGGCGGGAGUCUAAGUAGCGUGUGAAAUCCCCGAGCUCAACUCGGGACGUGCACGCUAAACUGGGCUUCUUGAGUAUCGGAGAGGGUCAUGGAAUUGCUGGUGUAGGAGUGACAUCCGUAGAGAUCAGCAGGAACACCGGAGGCGUAAGCGAUGACCUGGCCGAAUACUGACGCUGAGGAACGAAAGCGUGGGGAGCAAACAGGAUUAGAUACCCUGGUAGUCCACGCCCUAAACGAUGUUCACUAGAUGUUGGGGGAGUUGACCCCCUCAGUAUCGCAGCACACGCGUUAAGUGAACCGCCUGGGGAGUACGGCCGCAAGGCUA